UACGUAGGGGGCUAGCGUUGUCCGGAAUCAUUGGGCGUAAAGAGCGCGUAGGCGGCCAGAUAAGUCCGGUGUGAAAGUCAAAGGCUCAACCUUUGAAUGCCGCUGGAAACUGUCUGGCUAGAGUCCGGGAGGGGCGAGUGGAAUUCCCAGUGUAGAGGUGAAAUUCGUAGAUAUUGGGAAGAACACCAGUGGCGAAGGCGGCUCACUGGCCCGUAACUGACGCUGAGGUGCGAAAGCGUGGGGAGCAAACAGG
This 253-nucleotide ribosomal RNA is filed under the name uncultured bacterium. RNAcentral describes it as "partial 16S ribosomal RNA". It matches the Rfam family "Bacterial small subunit ribosomal RNA", at positions 524 to 776 of the family's 1533-position model. The record is from RNAcentral.